GCUAAAUUUGGAAAUAGGGCUUACAAGAUGGUAAUAAAGGGUAAAUGAGGUCACAAGGAUGAGGUCUUAAUCUGAUGGGACUGGUAUCCUGAUAAGAAGAGGAAGAGAACCCAAGAUCUCUCUCCACACACACAGAAUAAAGACCCUAUGAGGACACAGCUAGAAGGUGGAUGUUUGCAAGCUACAGAAGCCUCACCAGACACUGAAGCCUGAUAGUGACCUUGAACUUGGACCUGUAGCCUUUAGAACUCUGAGGAAAUUAAUUUCUUUUGUUGAAGCCAUUAAUUCUGAAAACCUGUAUGAGCCAGGCUAAUACAACAGUCGUAUUUAUUUUUAUUUGGCAUAAUAAUAAAGCAAAAUGUCUAACUAUUAUUGUUUUGUCAAUAGUGGAGGAUGGCAAUGAGAGGAACACCAGGCUACUGCACAGGUGUGCCAUCUACAUUACAAAAUCACAUCUUGGCCAAAAUUCAUACACACAACUUUGA
Molecule: long non-coding RNA, 485 nt
Filed under: Mustela putorius furo (domestic ferret)
Lineage: Eukaryota; Metazoa; Chordata; Mammalia; Carnivora; Mustelidae
Description: lncRNA (ENSMPUG00000024566.1)
Source: RNAcentral